CCACGUUUAGGGCCGAGCUUUCCUUCCCUCCCUGUCGGGCUGUGUUCUGGACUCCAGAUUAGAGAUGCCGAGUUUCAUUCACUCUGUAACCUUUCUCGGAAGUGCUUAGUCACUGAUCCGGCCACGUGGCAUCCGCUUUCCUGUUGUGGGUCUGGUAUGUUAACUAAGAAAGUUAUUUUCCAGCCUAUUUAGAAACAGCAGGAACUUGAAUUGACUUGCUAGAGUGGCGGUGCUGAGGAGUUAGGGCCACGUGCCAAAGGAAAGAGCGGAUGGCCAAUCACCAGGGAGCAAAUUUCUCAAUCUGCAGCCUGAGACUAAACCUUCCCGCUGGCAAGGGAGAUCCAUGUUAGGCCUUUGCUGCCAGAUUCACACUGGGAGAUGUACUGUGACUUCACAGUGGCUCCGCAUGCAGCCUGGAGCUCAGAAAGGGAAUCGUGAACCACCUUUUUCUAUGGACAAAAACCUGGAGGAAAGAAGGUUAAUCCUAGAGAUAGGGGACAAAAUCUUGAAGAGAGAGUAAAGAUGAGAGGAGACCAAAAAGUCCCAGACAUGGCAAUAGUAAGGGACAGAAGACCAGAUGUGUGGAUAAUAGGGGCCAGGCUAGCAAGUCUGAGGCCUUGCUGGUGCUGCCACUAGCUCUGCCCCCCCUUCUUAGCCCAUCCCCAUCCCAGCUCCUACCUGGAACUUCCCAAGAACAGAGACGCUGGGCAGCAGAGGAGAACACAGCUAUUGCCAGCAAUGUUUGGGUGCACAAUCUGAGUCUACAGGUGUGAAGGAGGAAGCAGGAUGCCUCGUCAGAAAUCAGCCAGCUGAGAAGGCCUGCCCCUCUGGCCAGGAGGCCAGCCCAGCCCAAGGGUGCUUACCUGAGAUAACCUCACCCCCGUGG
Long non-coding RNA from Equus quagga, 886 nucleotides. RefSeq lists it as uncharacterized. The record is from RefSeq and is a predicted model, not a curated record. The transcript has 3 exons. NCBI's taxonomy places the organism in Eukaryota, Metazoa, Chordata, Mammalia, Perissodactyla, Equidae.